CGGCGGACGGGUGAGUAACGCGUGGGAAACUACCCAGUAGUGGGGGACAACGGUUGGAAACGACUGCUAAUACCGCAUACGCUCUACGGAGGAAAGGGGGCUUCGGCUCUCGCUAUUGGAUGUGCCUGCGUGUGAUUAGCUAGUUGGUGGGGUAAAGGCCUACCAAGGCAACGAUCUCUAGCUGGUCUGAGAGGAUGAUCAGCCACACUGGGACUGAGACACGGCCCAG
Molecule: ribosomal RNA, 229 nt
Filed under: uncultured bacterium
Lineage: Bacteria
Description: partial 16S ribosomal RNA
Rfam family: Bacterial small subunit ribosomal RNA
Source: RNAcentral